RNAcentral lists this ribosomal RNA (528 nucleotides) under Amanita flavorubens. Its description in RNAcentral is "partial large subunit ribosomal RNA". It matches the Rfam family "Eukaryotic large subunit ribosomal RNA", at positions 448 to 962 of the family's 3401-position model. The record is from RNAcentral. Lineage: Eukaryota; Fungi; Basidiomycota; Agaricomycetes; Agaricales; Amanitaceae.
GGUUGGGGAUCAGCCUGACAUUGUUGGGUGUACUUCCUGGUUGACGGGCCAACAUCAGUUUUGAUUGCCAGAAAAAGGCCAAAGGAAUGUGGCACCUUUGGGUGUGUUAUAGCCCUUGGUCGUAUAUGGUGGUUGGGACUGAGGAAAGCAGCGUGCCGAAAGGCCGGGUUUCGACCACGUUCACGCUGAGGAUGUUGGCAUAAUGGCUUUAAGCGACCCGUCUUGAAACACGGACCAAGGAGUCUAACAUGCAUGCGAGUGUUUGGGUGGAAAACCCUUACGCGUAAUGAAAGUGAAAGUUGAGAUCCCUGUCGUGGGGAGCAUCGACGCCCGGACCAGAACUUUUGGGACGGAUCUGCGGUAGAGCACGUAUGUUGGGACCCGAAAGAUGGUGAACUAUGCCUGAAUAGGGUGAAGCCAGAGGAAACUCUGGUGGAGGCUCGUAGCGAUUCUGACGUGCAAAUCGAUCGUCAAAUUUGGGUAUAGGGGCGAAAGACUAAUCGAACCAUCUAGUAGCUGGUUCCUGCC